Molecule: ribosomal RNA, 379 nt
Filed under: uncultured eukaryote
Lineage: Eukaryota
Description: partial 18S ribosomal RNA
Rfam family: Eukaryotic small subunit ribosomal RNA
Source: RNAcentral
CAAUAGCGUAUAUUAAAGUUGUUGCAGUUAGAACGCUCGUAGUCGGAUUUCGGGGCGGGCCGACCGGUCUGCCGAUGGGUAUGCACUGGUCGGCGCGUCCUUCCUUCCGGAGACCGUUCCUACUCUUAACUGAGCGGGGGCGGGAGACGGAUCGUUUACUUUGAAAAAAUCAGAGUGUUUCAAGCAGGCAGCUCGCUCUUGCAUGGAUUAGCAUGGGAUAAUGAAAUAGGACUUUGGUGCUAUUUUGUUGGUUUCGAACACCGAAGUAAUGAUUAAAAGGGACAGUCAGGGGCACUCGUAUUCCGCCGAGAGAGGUGAAAUUCUCAGACCAGCGGAAGACGAACUACUGCGAAAGCAUUUGCCAGGGAUGUUUUCACUG